This 415-nucleotide unclassified non-coding RNA is filed under the name fungal sp. Its description in RNAcentral is "partial internal transcribed spacer region". The stretch from base 1 to 46 matches the Rfam family "Eukaryotic small subunit ribosomal RNA", at positions 1786 to 1831 of the family's 1831-position model. The record is from RNAcentral. Lineage: Eukaryota; Fungi.
AAGUCGUAACAAGGUUUCCGUAGGUGAACCUGCGGAAGGAUCAUUAACACGUAUCCAACGUUAAACCCCCCCGUGAACGUACAGUCCGGGUUUACUUCCGGCUCUUCUCGACUUACAGAAAUAUUGGUUGCAAUCCCUGGUAAAUCAUCGCCGAACAGUUUGAUUCAGGGACUUCUGCGUGGGUAGGACAACUGCGCGAGCAAGUGGCCUGGCAUCCCUCUGCUUGUUAGUGUCUGAAAGUGUCACUAGCUCUGUACGGGUGGCGCAAUCACGAUCGCUAGAGGCCAACACGGCCGGCGACCGGGUCAAUGGGCCCUCGGCCCCCUAGAUCACCCCUUUGCAUGAAAACGGGCCUGCGCUUAAUUGUGCGACCACCAAACUCGAACAACUGUUAACAAUGGAUAUCUUGGUUCCC